GCAAUGUGGCACCAGUCUACUACCAUUUCCGUUGUGUGGUGCUUCCUGUGUCAUGGCAUCUUUGUGCAGUGGACAACCUACAUGCCUGCUUGUGGGAGCUAUAUAUUUCACCAUCUACACUUCAUCCUGCAACUCUGUUGAACAACUUUGCUAGAAAUGGCAGUUCCGCAUCAGAUGUGAUCAACCACUUAUUAAACUGAUUCCACCCUGGAAGAGAAUUAUCCAACAGAAGACUUAAGGUUACCCUCUGAGAAUGCCUGAGGAGAUGCAAUGGGAAGAAAAUGACUCAUGAAACCCAACAAAGGGGUAAAGGGC
This is a long non-coding RNA of Pantherophis guttatus, 315 nucleotides long. RefSeq lists it as uncharacterized. The record is from RefSeq and is a predicted model, not a curated record. NCBI's taxonomy places the organism in Eukaryota, Metazoa, Chordata, Lepidosauria, Squamata, Colubridae.